GACAGAGGUGCCGAGCGUUAGGCGGAAUCACUGGGCUUAAAGCGUGUGUAGGCGGGUCCGUAAGUACCUUGUGAAAUCCCACGGCGUCAACCGUGGAAUCUGCGUUGGUAUACUGGCGGGUCUUGAGCCACCUAGGGGCAAGCGGAACAAGCGGUGGAGCGGUGAAAUGCGUAGAUAUCGCUUGGAACGCCAAUGGUGAAAACGAGCUU
RNAcentral lists this ribosomal RNA (209 nucleotides) under uncultured bacterium. RNAcentral's name for it is "partial 16S ribosomal RNA". It matches the Rfam family "Bacterial small subunit ribosomal RNA", at positions 524 to 727 of the family's 1533-position model. The record is from RNAcentral.